AGAGUUUGAUCAUGGCUCAGGACGAACGCUGGCGGCGUGCCUAAUACAUGCAAGUCGAGCGAGCGGAACCAACAGAUUUACUUCGGUAAUGACGUUGGGAAAGCGAGCGGCGGAUGGGUGAGUAACACGUGGGGAACCUGCCCCUAAGUCUGGGAUACCAUUCGGAAACAGGUGCUAAUACCGGAUAAUAAAGCAGAUCGCAUGAUCAGCUUUUGAAAGGCGGCGUAAGCUGUCGCUAAGGGAUGGCCCCGCGGUGCAUUAGCUAGUUGGUAAGGUAACGGCUUACCAAGGCGACGGUGCAUAGCCGAGUUGAGAGACUGAUCGGCCACAUUGGGACUGAGACACGGCCCAAACUCCUACGGGAGGCAGCAGUAGGGAAUCUUCCACAAUGGACGCAAGUCUGAUGGAGCAACGCCGCGUGAGUGAAGAAGGUUUUCGGAUCGUAAAGCUCUGUUGUUGGUGAAGAAGGAUAGAGGUAGUAACUGGCCUUUAUUUGACGGUAAUCAACCAGAAAGUCACGGCUAACUACGUGCCAGCAGCCGCGGUAAUACGUAGGUGGCAAGCGUUGUCCGGAUUUAUUGGGCGUAAAGCGAGCGCAGGCGGAAAAAUAAGUCUAAUGUGAAAGCCCUCGGCUUAACCGAGGAACUGCAUCGGAAACUGUUUUUCUUGAGUGCAGAAGAGGAGAGUGGAACUCCAUGUGUAGCGGUGGAAUGCGUAGAUAUAUGGAAGAACACCAGUGGCGAAGGCGGCUCUCUGGUCUGCAACUGACGCUGAGGCUCGAAAGCAUGGGUAGCGAACAGGAUUAGAUACCCUGGUAGUCCAUGCCGUAAACGAUGAGUGCUAAGUGUUGGGAGGUUUCCGCCUCUCAGUGCUGCAGCUAACGCAUUAAGCACUCCGCCUGGGGAGUACGACCGCAAGGUUGAAACUCAAAGGAAUUGACGG
Molecule: ribosomal RNA, 942 nt
Filed under: uncultured bacterium
Lineage: Bacteria
Description: bacterial SSU rRNA
Rfam family: Bacterial small subunit ribosomal RNA
Source: RNAcentral